UCUGCCAGCACAGUGGCACGUGUGUGUGGUACAGGUUAUUCCUGCUCCUGUGCAGGCAUUAGCAGUCACUUGCAUCUUUCGAGUGUUCAGCUGGCACAGGUGUUACAGGCGAAAGUGAUCCUUCACAAGGCCUGAUGAUGUGCACAGAUGUUUUGGCAGCUGCUGAGACCACACCUGCUUCCAUUUGUGUGCAGAGGGACCUGACCCUUUACAUGUCAGGCUUGCCAGACAUCUGCUUUCCAGCUGUCCAAAUGAGCAUCCUACAGAACCCCUGCAAAUCUGAGCUCUCCAGUUCAUAGCACCCCAACACUACUGAGCCCUGCAGUGACUCCCACAAGACAUGAAGGACUGGCAGUAAAGCUGUGUGCUUUGGGACACAGGCAUCCUGUUCAGCCUGAGUGAAAAACUUGAGCUUUU
This is a non-coding RNA of Cyanistes caeruleus (blue tit), 417 nucleotides long. NCBI's taxonomy places the organism in Eukaryota, Metazoa, Chordata, Aves, Passeriformes, Paridae. The record is from RefSeq and is a predicted model, not a curated record.